This 2103-nucleotide ribosomal RNA is filed under the name human gut metagenome. Its description in RNAcentral is "bacterial LSU rRNA". It matches the Rfam family "Bacterial large subunit ribosomal RNA", at positions 1 to 2002 of the family's 2925-position model. The record is from RNAcentral.
UCAAGCUACAAGGGUGUAUGGUGAAUGCCUUGGUGCCAGAAGUCGAUGAAAGACGUGAUAAGCUGCGAUAAGCUGCGGGUAGGAGCAAAUAUCCUGUGAUCCGCAGAUUUCUGAAUGGGGGAACCCUUACAGGUGAGAGCCUGUAAAUCAUCACAAGAAGGCUGAGCCUCCGGGCUCGGAGAUAGGGUGAUAGAAGACAACGUAGGGAAGUGAAACAUCUCAGUACCUACAGGAAAAGAAAUCAAAGAGAUUCCCUGAGUAGUGGCGAGCGAAAUGGGAAGAGCCUAAACCAACCCCCGCACUGUAUGCAUCAGUGAGGGUGCAUAAAGUGCGUGGGUUGGGGUUGCAGGGCUUGCUCGUGUAAGACACAAAGAGUUAAAAACGUAUGGAUAGCUGAACGGUCUGGAAAGUCCGACCAUAGAGGGUGAUAGUCCUUUAAGCGAAAUCUGUGCGACUCUUAGCAAGUACCUAAGUACCACUGGUCACGUGCAAUCCGGUGGGAAUCCGGGGAGACCACUCUCCAAGGCUAAAUACUCUCUGGCAACCGAUAGUGAACCAGUACCGCGAGGGAAAGGCGAAAAGAACCCCGAAAGGGGAGUGAAAUAGAACCUGAAACCGUACAUCUACAAGCUAUUGUAGCACUAUGCCCGUAAGGGAAUGUGCGACAGUGUGCCUGUUGAAGAAUGAUCCAGCGAGUUAAUGUGCCGAGCGAGGUUAAGGGCUGAAGAGGUCCGAAGCCGUAGUGAAAGCGAGCUCGAAUAGAGCGAAUAGUUCGUCAUAUUAGACCCGAAGCCAAGUGAUCUAACCCUGUCCAGGCUGAAGUUCGCGUAACAGUGAAUGGAGGGCCGGAGUGUUAAACGUUGAAAAGUUUCUACAUGAGGUGGGGUUAGGGGUGAAAGGCCAAUCGAACUUGGUGAUAGCUGGUUCUCCCCGAAAUAGCUUUAGGGCUAGCGUUGUGAUUUAACCCGAGGGGGUAGAGCACUGGUUGAUUUAGGGGGAGCGACCCUCCUUCCGAUGUCAGUCAAACUCCGAAUACCUCGGCGGAUAUCACAGCAGUCAGUUCGUGAGGGAUAAGCUUCACGUGCGAGAGGGAAACAGCCCAGACCGUCAAUUUAGGUCCCAAAAUGUAUGCUAAGUGGUAAAGGAUGUGGAUUUACUUAAACAGCUAGGAGGUUGGCUUAGAAGCAGCCACCCUUUGAAGAGUGCGUAAUAGCUCACUAGUCGAGUGAAUCUGCGCCGAAGAUGACUCGGGGCUAAGCAUAGUACCGAAAUUACGGCUUGUACAGAGGUUCGCCUUUGUGCAGGGGUAGGGGAGCGUUAUUAGCAGCUGCGAAGGUAUACCGUAAGGAGUGCUGGAGCGCUAAUAAGUGAGAAUGCUGGAAUGAGUAGCGAUAAGGAAGGUGAGAAUCCUUCCCGCCGAAAAUCUAAGGUUUCCUUGAGCAACGUUCGUCGGCUCAGGGUCAGUCGGGCCUAAGCUCAGGCCGAAAGGCGUAGGCGAAGGACAUCAGGUUAAUAUUCCUGAACUGUAGUAAGCGCGUCAUAACCUAGGGAGGGACGCAGGAGAGUAGACCAUCUUGGUGAGGGAUUACCAAGUGAAAGGCCGUAGGCAUCUUCAGGUAGGCAAAUCCGCUUGAAGGCUAAGCCGAAAACCGAGACGAGUAUACAGCGAUGUAUGCGAAGUGGUCCAAUCACGCUGCCUAGAAAAACUUCGUAGGGAGUUCUUACUACAACCGUACCGUAAACCGACACAGGUGGAUGGGGUGAAAAUCCUAAGGCGCGCGAGAUAACCAUCGUCAAGGAACUAGGCAAACUAGCUCCGUAACUUCGGAAGAAGGAGUGCCUGAGUAGGGCUGUAGCAAUACAGUUUGAAAAGGUCGCAGUGAAAUGGGCUUCGUGACUGUUUAACAAAAACUUAGGGCUCUGCUGAAAUCUCAAGAUGAUGUAUAGGGCCUGAUGCCUGCCCGGUGCCGGAAGGUCAAGGGGAGUGGUUAGCCGCAAGGCGAAGCUGCGAACUUAAGCCCCGGUAAACGGCGGCGGUAACUAUAACCGUCCUAAGGUAGCGAAAUUCCUUGUCGGGUAAGUUCCGACCUGCACGAAUGGCAU